RNAcentral lists this ribosomal RNA (1020 nucleotides) under Lacticaseibacillus rhamnosus. RNAcentral's name for it is "bacterial SSU rRNA". Lineage: Bacteria; Bacillati; Bacillota; Bacilli; Lactobacillales; Lactobacillaceae. The record is from RNAcentral.
GUUCGGCAGAGUAACUGUUGUCGGCGUGACGGUAUCCAACCAGAAAGCCACGGCUAACUACGUGCCAGCAGCCGCGGUAAUACGUAGGUGGCAAGCGUUAUCCGGAUUUAUUGGGCGUAAAGCGAGCGCAGGCGGUUUUUUAAGUCUGAUGUGAAAGCCCUCGGCUUAACCGAGGAAGUGCAUCGGAAACUGGGAAACUUGAGUGCAGAAGAGGACAGUGGAACUCCAUGUGUAGCGGUGAAAUGCGUAGAUAUAUGGAAGAACACCAGUGGCGAAGGCGGCUGUCUGGUCUGUAACUGACGCUGAGGCUCGAAAGCAUGGGUAGCGAACAGGAUUAGAUACCCUGGUAGUCCAUGCCGUAAACGAUGAAUGCUAGGUGUUGGAGGGUUUYCGCCCUUCAGUGCCGCAGCUAACGCAUUAAGCAUUCCGCCUGGGGAGUACGACCGCAAGGUUGAAACUCAAAGGAAUUGACGGGGGCCCGCACAAGCGGUGGAGCAUGUGGUUUAAUUCGAAGCAACGCGAAGAACCUUACCAGGUCUUGACAUCUUUUGAUCACCUGAGAGAUCRGGUUUCCCCUUCGGGGGCAAAAUGACAGGUGGUGCAUGGUUGUCGUCAGCUCGUGUCGUGAGAUGUUGGGUUAAGUCCCGCAACGAGCGCAACCCUUAUGACUAGUUGCCAGCAUUUAGUUGGGCACUCUAGUAAGACUGCCGGUGACAAACCGGAGGAAGGUGGGGAUGACGUCAAAUCAUCAUGCCCCUUAUGACCUGGGCUACACACGUGCUACAAUGGAUGGUACAACGAGUUGCGAGACCGCGAGGUCAAGCUAAUCUCUUAAAGCCAUUCUCAGUUCGGACUGUAGGCUGCAACUCGCCUACACGAAGUCGGAAUCGCUAGUAAUCGCGGAUCAGCACGCCGCGGUGAAUACGUUCCCGGGCCUUGUACACACCGCCCGUCACACCAKGAGAGUUUGUAACACCCGAAGCCGGUGGCGUAACCCUUUUAGGGAGCGAGCCGUCUAAG